RNAcentral lists this ribosomal RNA (691 nucleotides) under Salmonella enterica. RNAcentral describes it as "partial 23S ribosomal RNA". It matches the Rfam family "Bacterial large subunit ribosomal RNA", at positions 1 to 734 of the family's 2925-position model. The record is from RNAcentral. Lineage: Bacteria; Pseudomonadati; Pseudomonadota; Gammaproteobacteria; Enterobacterales; Enterobacteriaceae.
GGUUAAGCGACUAAGCGUACACGGUGGAUGCCCUGGCAGUCAGAGGCGAUGAAGGACGUGCUAAUCUGCGAUAAGCGCCGGUAAGGUGAUAUGAACCGUUAUAACCGGCGAUUUCCGAAUGGGGAAACCCAGUGUGACUCGUCACACUAUCAUUAACUGAAUCCAUAGGUUAAUGAGGCGAACCGGGGGAACUGAAACAUCUAAGUACCCCGAGGAAAAGAAAUCAACCGAGAUUCCCCCAGUAGCGGCGAGCGAACGGGGAGGAGCCCAGAGCCUGAAUCAGCAUGUGUGUUAGUGGAAGCGUCUGGAAAGGCGCGCGAUACAGGGUGACAGCCCCGUACACAAAAGCGCAUGUGCUGUGAGCUCGAUGAGUAGGGCGGGACACGUGGUAUCCUGUCUGAAUAUGGGGGGACCAUCCUCCAAGGCUAAAUACUCCUGACUGACCGAUAGUGAACCAGUACCGUGAGGGAAAGGCGAAAAGAACCCCGGCGAGGGGAGUGAAAAAGAACCUGAAACCGUGUACGUACAAGCAGUGGGAGCACCCUUUGGGGUGUGACUGCGUACCUUUUGUAUAAUGGGUCAGCGACUUAUAUUCUGUAGCAAGGUUAACCGAAUAGGGGAGCCGGAGGGAAACCGAGUCUUAAUUGGGCGUUAAGUUGCAGGGUAUAGACCCGAAACCCGGUGAUCUAGC